CAGGAGCCCACGCCUGCAAGCAAGCAAACCUGCUGUUGUUGGCCAGAUGUGUUUCUGAAUUCAAAUACUUUGGAUUUAGAAAAGUAAUAGAGUGCACCUCCGAAUCAAACAUUGAAAUACAUCGGCUGCCAAACAUACCAGCUGAAAGACUGAAAAGAUCUGGAAGCUACAGCAUAUAAAGGAUACUUGAAGAAACCAAGUACGUUACGGAAUAGAAAAUCAUGGAGACUAUCAGAUGGAAAAAAUUGAGAAACAGAGAAGCUGACUUCUGCAAGUCCAUGAUUUAGUGGCUACUGCAAGAUUUGAGCUCAGGUCUCCCGACAGUCUGCCAUUCUCUGAACAAAAGUUGAUGA
Long non-coding RNA from Zalophus californianus (California sea lion), 353 nucleotides. RefSeq lists it as uncharacterized. The record is from RefSeq and is a predicted model, not a curated record. The transcript is spliced from 3 exons. Lineage: Eukaryota; Metazoa; Chordata; Mammalia; Carnivora; Otariidae.